UACAGAGGGUGCGAGCGUUGUCCGGAGUUACUGGGCGUAAAGGGCGUGCAGGCGGUGCGGCAAGUUUAGAGUGACAGUCUUCGGCUUAACUGGAGAAGGCCUCUGAAAACUGCCGGACUUGUGGGCCAGAGAGGGACAUAGAAUUCCGGGUGGAGUGGUGAAAUGCGUAGAUAUCCGGAGGAAUACCAAAGGCGAAGGCAGUGUCCUGGCUGGCAUCUGACGCUGAGGCGCGAAAGCUAGGGGAGCGAACAGG
RNAcentral lists this ribosomal RNA (253 nucleotides) under uncultured bacterium. RNAcentral's name for it is "partial 16S ribosomal RNA". It matches the Rfam family "Bacterial small subunit ribosomal RNA", at positions 524 to 776 of the family's 1533-position model. The record is from RNAcentral.